Long non-coding RNA from Asparagus officinalis (garden asparagus), 598 nucleotides. RefSeq lists it as uncharacterized. The record is from RefSeq and is a predicted model, not a curated record. The transcript has 3 exons. NCBI's taxonomy places the organism in Eukaryota, Viridiplantae, Streptophyta, Magnoliopsida, Asparagales, Asparagaceae.
CCUAACUUACCCAUCUAAUAAAUGGGUCAGUUCGGGUUGACCCGUUUAUGACCCGACCCAUAUAACUUGACCCAUACCUAUAAUAAACGGGUCGGGUCGGGUUGGGUUGAUGGGUCGGGUCAUAAAUUGCCACCCCUAGUUAAGGAGAAUGGUUUAUUUAAUCAUCAAAAGAGCUUUCACCUUCUGCUGAUGAGGUUAGACAGACUAUGUAGUUUUUCCUUCUCCUCUCCAACGCUUAUCGAAGUAUCUGCAGUUCCAAAAAUCCCAUCAAGAACAUGAAAUAUCUCUCAAAGAUCAAGGGUGUGGGGAAGUGGAUAUUGAGGAUUAUGAAGGGUUUUUUCCCUGAUUCUCCUGCUCCUUUGGAGGUUUCACUGUCAAAGGUUGUACGCGGUGUUCAAUUGUAAAAAUUCUUUAUUAAGUAACAUUUUUAUGUAAGUUUUUGGAGGAACCUUUUUAAUCAAAGUUUUAUGCUCGAAAAAAUUGUCUAUUUUGUUGAAGCAACAUUCAAAAGGCUCACUGCGUGUAAGAAACAUGCAUAAAAAUGCUCAGACAAUUGUAUUUGCAGUUAUACAAUUAAAUAUUUUUAUGUGAAACUAAA